Molecule: long non-coding RNA, 1926 nt
Filed under: Canis lupus familiaris (dog)
Lineage: Eukaryota; Metazoa; Chordata; Mammalia; Carnivora; Canidae
Description: lncRNA (ENSCAFG00845005693.1)
Source: RNAcentral
UCCCCUGGAGGUCUAAUGAGCUUGCAGGAAUUUCCCUCUUCGGGGCACUGACUGCACUUGUGCCAGGAGAUAACUCUCUGAGUUGCUGUACCAUGACAAAGUCGUCACCUGGUGAUGAAAAAGAAUAUAAAAUGGAAUGAUUUAAUGUUAAGUACCAAUGGACUGCCUAAAAAAGAUGAAGUAAAAACAAUAAGUGCCAGAGGAAGAUCAUUCCUGUUUAUGAAGUUCCUGGAAAGUUACCCUUAAUGCAGUUUUCAAGCACAAACAAAGAGAAAAACAAUUGACGGCCUUGUUGCCAAAGCCACUUUUUUUUUUUCUUUUCAAUACCCUAUUCCACAGCUUCCAUGACCCUUUUUGCUCGGAUUCCAAAAGGCUGAGUGUUGGUAUGGGCCAUGCAAAGACUGGCAAAUCCCUGGAAGCUCUCCCCUGGAAUGAUUCUGACUCUCUCCUUCUUAUAGACAUUCUGUAUGGGCAUGACCUGUUCUGCCAGCUGGGUAGCCAACUUGAGUUCUUCAGCAGAGAUGUCUCCCUUUUCAGGGGCCAAGGGCUUCAGAGGAAGAGGAUGAACCUGUAUAGGUACUUCUUCAGCCCCUCCACGUCAGCCUCCAGGGAUUCUGUAGACUUGUUCUGCCGUCUUGGAUCCACUGAGAUCCCAAUGAUCCAUGCCACCUUCUUGUAGAUGCCAGCCACUUGUAACUCUUCCAAGCUGAAGUCCAUGCCAGGUGGCACAUCGGUGUGAUACCUCACCAUAGGGCGCCUUACGAUGAGCUGGAAGGGUCUGGAUGGGUCUGGACAAGGGAUGCAGGGCCAUGUGGCUUGCCUUGGCUUGCCUGUCCUUGCAUCUGCACGUGCAAGGGGGCUGGUUGAACCAAGUGGCCACAAAGGGCGCCAGUCCUUCUGUAAACUGGGUUCAGGAUCACACCAUUCUACCUCUGCUGCUGCCUAUGGGUGGGCCCCAAGGGACAGUGACUCUUUAUUUAAAAAACAAAAAUAAGAUCACCUGGGUGGCUCAGUGGUUGAGCGUCCUCUGCAUUUGGCUCAGGUCUGAUCCCAGGGUCCUGAGAUGGAGAAGCAGGCUCACUCUGGGGAGCCUGAUGCAGGACUCCAUCCCUGGACCCUGGGAUCAUGACCUGAGCCAAAGGCAGACACUUAAUGCUGAGCCACCCAGGUACCUUUAUAACAAAUUUUAUAACAAUAUUUUGAAUCUUACCUGUUUUGUUAUAAAUAGACCUAAAAACUAAAGAAACCACAUUCUAAGAAAUUUUAAGGGUAAACUACUGGGGAAUUUCUAAUGUUAUUUGGUAUCAGCAAUUAAUUGUGAAUUUUGGCUAUUUAUAUCAUCCAUCUCUUUUAUUAUAGUAUAUAGUUAUUUAAAUGAAAAGAAAAAUGGAUUGCUACCUCUCCAUUCUACCAACAUACUAGAUCUUCAUGAAACCCCAGCUGGUUGGUUCCACUCCCCAUCUGAGAGUCUUGAAUGGCCUCUUUGUAUAGGACUAAGGUUGAAGUCUUUGACAAACCUUAUGUGAGGACUUGUAUCACCUGGCCCUUACUUCUCCCCAACCUCCUGAAACACUCCAAUACUAUACAUAGCACAAUUCGACCCAUAGAAAGCUCUGUUCUUCAGUCAAAUUGUGCUCCAUUUCCUUCUGUACAUUCGUCCUAUUGUUUUCUCUGUGCUUGGCAUUUUUCUAUGUGUUGGGCAAAACCCAGGAUUUCUAUGGUAGAGAGGGAAGCGGCAUUGGUGUCAACUCAAAACAAAAGCAAGUUCCAACCCUAGUUCUUACUAUUAAUGGCUUUUGGUAAAUAAUGUAUUAUCAUCAUGUCUCAAUUUCCUCAUAAUGUUUAGAUUGCUGAACCAGAAAUACUAUAUGUAAAGGGCUUGUCAAAAAAUAAAUGCUCUAUAAAUAUACUAAAUACUUUUAUUCC